AGCAGUCGCCACGGUAACACGUAGGGUGCAAGCGUUAAUCGGAAUUACUGGGCGUAAAGCGUGCGCAGGCGGUUAUAUAAGACAGAUGUGAAAUCCCCGGGCUCAACCUGGGAACUGCAUUUGUGACUGUAUAGCUAGAGUACGGCAGAGGGGGAUGGAAUUCCGCGUGUAGCAGUGAAAUGCGUAGAUAUGCGGAGGAACACCGAUGGCGAAGGCAAUCCCCUGGGCCUGUACUGACGCUCAUGCACGAAAGCGUGGGGAGCAAACAGGAUUAGAUACCCCAGUAGUCCCUGUCUCUUAUAC
RNAcentral lists this ribosomal RNA (303 nucleotides) under uncultured bacterium. Its description in RNAcentral is "partial 16S ribosomal RNA". It matches the Rfam family "Bacterial small subunit ribosomal RNA", at positions 507 to 807 of the family's 1533-position model. The record is from RNAcentral.